This 504-nucleotide ribosomal RNA is filed under the name Lydus unicolor. Its description in RNAcentral is "partial large subunit ribosomal RNA". It matches the Rfam family "Bacterial large subunit ribosomal RNA", at positions 1797 to 2572 of the family's 2925-position model. Lineage: Eukaryota; Metazoa; Arthropoda; Insecta; Coleoptera; Meloidae. The record is from RNAcentral.
CGCCUGUUUAUCAAAAACAUGUCUUUUUGUUAAUUAUUUAAGGUUUGGCCUGCUCCAUGAAUGUAAUUAAAUAGCCGCAGUAUUUUGACUGUGCAAAGGUAGCAUAAUCAUUAGUUUUUUAAUUGAAAGCUGGAAUGAAGGGUCGGAUGAGAAAGUUUCUGUCUCAGUAGUAUUUUCUUUGAAUUUUAUUUUUAAGUUAAAAAGCUUAGAUUUUAUAAAAAGACGAGAAGACCCUAUAGAGUUUAAUAGGUUUAUAAUGUAUUUAUUUGUAGGUAUAAAUUUAAUUACUUUAUAUCUUAUUUGGUUGGGGUGACUUAAGAAUUGAUUAAACUUCUUUAUUUAUUAACAUUGAUUAGUGAAUGGCUGAUCCUAAAUUUUGGAUUAUAAGAAUAAAUUACCUUAGGGAUAACAGCGUAAUUUUUUUAGAGAGUUCUUAUCGAUAAAAAGGAUUGCGACCUCGAUGUUGGAUUAAAGUUAAAUCUUGGUGCAAAAGCUAGGGAUUUA